AUACUCUGGUUUCUCUUCAGAUCGCAUAAAUCUUUUACCUUUUACUAAAGAUUUCCAUGGAAAAACAGGAAUAAUUCUCUCAUCUGGGUUAAGGUUGGUUUAUUCUUGGAAUAAAAUAA
Molecule: small nuclear RNA, 119 nt
Organism: Ochotona curzoniae (black-lipped pika)
Lineage: Eukaryota; Metazoa; Chordata; Mammalia; Lagomorpha; Ochotonidae
Product: U5 spliceosomal RNA
Exons: 1
Source: RefSeq, a predicted model, not a curated record